GUUGGGUAACACUAACUGGAGGACCGAACCGACUAAUGUUGAAAAAUUAGCGGAUGACUUGUGGCUGGGGGUGAAAGGCCAAUCAAACCGGGAGAUAGCUGGUUCUCCCCGAAAGCUAUUUAGGUAGCGCCUCGUGAAUUCAUCUCCGGGGGUAGAGCACUGUUUCGGCAAGGGGGUCAUCCCGACUUACCAACCCGAUGCAAACUGCGAAUACCGGAGAAUGUUAUCACGGGAGACACACGGCGGGUGCUAACGUCCGUCGUGAAGAGGGAAACAACCCAGACCGCCAGCUAAGGUCCCAAAGUCAUGGUUAAGUGGGAAACGAUGUGGGAAGGCCCAGACAGCCAGGAUGUUGGCUUAGAAGCAGCCAUCAUUUAAAGAAAGCGUAAUAGCUCACUGGUCGAGUCGGCCUGCGCGGAAGAUGUAACGGGGCUAAACCAUGCACCGAAGCUGCGGCAGCGACGCUUAUGCGUUGUUGGGUAGGGGAGCGUUCUGUAAGCCUGCGAAGGUGUGCUGUGAGGCAUGCUGGAGGUAUCAGAAGUGCGAAUGCUGACAUAAGUAACGAUAAAGCGGGUGAAAAGCCCGCUCGCCGGAAGACCAAGGGUUCCUGUCCAACGUUAAUCGGGGCAGGGUGAGUCGACCCCUAAGGCGAGGCCGAAAGGCGUAGUCGAUGGGAAACAGGUUAAUAUUCCUGUACUUGGUGUUACUGCGAAGGGGGGACGGAGAAGGCUAUGUUGGCCGGGCGACGGUUGUCCCGGUUUAAGCGUGUAGGCUGGU
This 777-nucleotide ribosomal RNA is filed under the name Escherichia coli. RNAcentral describes it as "partial 23S ribosomal RNA". It matches the Rfam family "Bacterial large subunit ribosomal RNA", at positions 751 to 1529 of the family's 2925-position model. Lineage: Bacteria; Pseudomonadati; Pseudomonadota; Gammaproteobacteria; Enterobacterales; Enterobacteriaceae. The record is from RNAcentral.